RNAcentral lists this ribosomal RNA (247 nucleotides) under uncultured bacterium. Its description in RNAcentral is "partial 16S ribosomal RNA". It matches the Rfam family "Bacterial small subunit ribosomal RNA", at positions 107 to 354 of the family's 1533-position model. The record is from RNAcentral.
UGAGUAACGCGUGAGGAACCUGCCUUCCAGAGGGGGACAACAGUUGGAAACGACUGCUAAUACCGCAUGACACAUUUGAAUCGCAUGGUUUGAAUGUCAAAGAUUUAUCGCUGGAAGAUGGCCUCGCGUCUGAUUAGCUAGUAGGCGGGGUAACGGCCCACCUAGGCGACGAUCAGUAGCCGGACUGAGAGGUUGACCGGCCACAUUGGGACUGAGAUACGGCCCAGACUCCUACGGGAGGCAGCAG